Molecule: unclassified non-coding RNA, 377 nt
Filed under: soil metagenome
Description: partial contains 5.8S ribosomal RNA, internal transcribed spacer 2, and large subunit ribosomal RNA
Rfam family: 5.8S ribosomal RNA (bases 1-120)
Source: RNAcentral
GAUGAAGAACGUAGCGAAAUGCGAUAAGUAAUGUGAAUUGCAGAAUUCAGUGAAUCAUCGAAUCUUUGAACGCAUCUUGCGCUCCUUGGUAUUCUGAGGAGCAUGCCUGUUUGAGUGUCAUUAAAUUCUCAACUACACUGACUUUGAACUGGUGUGGCUUGGAUUUGGGUGGGAAAAUUGUUGUGGGCUUUUUGUAUAGUCUGCUCCCCUGAAAUUGAUUAGCGGUACCUUUGUGGAACUGUCUACAGGUGUGAUAAUUAUCUACAUCCUAGACAUCUGCUGGAAUGCUGCUUUCUAAACCUUACUUGUAUUGACAAUCUUGACCUCAAAUCAGGUAGGACUACCCGCUGAACUUAAGCAUAUCAAUAAGCGGAGGA